UCCUCGAUAGUAUAGUGGUGAGUAUACAAGCCUGUCAAGCUACGUACAGAUCGCUUGGGACCCGGGUUCAAUUCCCGGUCGGGGAG
Non-coding RNA from Planoprotostelium fungivorum, 86 nucleotides. NCBI's taxonomy places the organism in Eukaryota, Evosea, Variosea, Cavosteliida, Cavosteliaceae. The record is from the annotation of a GenBank genome assembly.